Long non-coding RNA from Chrysemys picta bellii (western painted turtle), 1694 nucleotides. RefSeq lists it as uncharacterized. Lineage: Eukaryota; Metazoa; Chordata; Testudines; Emydidae. The record is from RefSeq and is a predicted model, not a curated record.
UGUUAACAUUUAAAGGACAAGUCCUGCAAUCCAUACUCGGUUCUUACCUGGGGAAAAACCCAUUGAAGUGAGCAGAGUAAAGGCUGCAGGAUCCAGCCUAGAUUUAAAAAAAACAUUUGGGUUUGCCAGCUUCAGCCUGAGAAUCACUGAGAAAUGACAAGUUGACUCUAAUCUAGCAUCCUGCCAUCCUAGUUCUGUGAUGUGAAACCAAUGUUCAUUUGCAAACAAGGAAGAGAACCAUUCGGCAUCCUGACAAAUCAAAAUAUAAUCACAUCUUCCUGAUUUCAAAGAACAUCCUGCUUCGCAAGUCUCAUUAAUGAUCCCAGACAGGUGUUUUUCAACAAAAGCUUUCUCAUUUGUUGCCCUUUCUGCUGCCUCCUGCUUGAGCUAAUAAGCCUCAGUGAUAUAUUUGGAAUAAUGGAGCAAUUUAUGUAACCCCAGGUUAGGAAAACGCACAAGUAAGGAAUCAUGACUAGAGAAGGGUAUUAAAGAGGGGCUGCAGGGGCAAAGCUCCUCUCUCUGUGAGCAGAGACAUCUCAUUAUCAGUGAUUAGGGAGGAAGUGUUCCAGCACUAUGGGGAGGGGGAAAGUAACUGUGUUUUAAAAAUGUUGUUUGAUAGCUUGUUAAUAUGCAGACACUGCUCUGUGAAAGGAUCAGACUGAGACCUCAUUACUGUGGCUUUUACAUCCUGUAGUGUUUGUAGUUAGAGAAAGGGAUUGCUACUACUUCUCUUGGGUAAUUCAUUUAGGGCCUGAUUCUUUGAAAAAAUGCAUGUGCACAUUUCAUGGUCACAGAAAUGUCUGUGUGUUUGCCAACAUUGGCUGCACAACCUGGAUACUUCUGCAUGAAAAGAGUUGUUUAGCUAGCAGGCUGUGUGCUUGCUCAAAUAUCUGGUUUAUGCAUGCCCUCAUGGCAACUCCUCUUACAUGUUUUUGAAAAACAGGCCCUCUGGGCCUCAGUUUCCCCCUCUAUAAAAUAGAAAUGGGAAUACCCUUUUCACAAGUGGGUGACAAAGGUUAGCUGGUGUGUAUAAAGUGCCAGGGUGUAAUCCUGAGACCAUUUUUGUACCCUGUUCAUAUGAGUAAAUCUGCAGAAGACAGUAGAAUGAAUCGUGUUUGCAAGAGCUACUUGCAUGAAUGAAGGUUGAGGGUCAGCCCCUAAAAUUCUAUUAGACUAAUUGAUGAGUAUGCUUUACUGCCUAUAAGUAAUUAUUAUUUUAUUUCCUCCGAUCGGGUAUGGUAUAUGCAGAAGGCUCCUUGGUUCCUACCACUCAGUGUUUUCUGCCAGUCAGUCUCAGACAGACGUGUAUCUUCUAAACACUAAAAUCCAGCAUAAUGCUCAUUCCUCUCCUGAUGUGCUUGACCGAGCCCCUAGAACAUUCCAUGUGUGUUGCAUCAUUAUGCAGAAGCUGAGAUCUGAUCUCUUCAGGAAUUCUUCCUUUACGAUCUACAGAUGUGCUACUGAGAGAUUCUCCCCUCCACAUACACGCUUUCCUGGGCUACAUGCAGUGUGAAGGUUUGGCUAAGGUGAAGCAGAUGGAUCAAGCUUACAUUCGCUAGGACAAGUGUUUUAGAUUCUCCACUUGAUUUGACCCUGCCUAUCAUCGUAAGGAACUAGCUCAGCCUCGUUGUCAGCAUCGUCGUCAUCUUCUGGAUCAGAAGGAGGAGCAGCGUGGUUAAAAAGAUAGCAGUCAG